UACGGAGGGGGCUAGCGUUGUUCGGAAUUACUGGGCGUAAAGCGCGCGCAGGCGGUUUUUCAAGUCAGUGGUGAAAGCCCGGAGCUCAACUCCGGAACUGCCAUUGAAACUGUAAAACUUGAGGACGAGAGAGGUGAGUGGAAUUCCCAGUGUAGAGGUGAAAUUCGUAGAUAUUGGGAAGAACACCGGUGGCGAAGGCGGCUCACUGGCUCGUAUCUGACGCUCAGGCGCGACAGCGUGGGGAUCAAACAGG
RNAcentral lists this ribosomal RNA (253 nucleotides) under uncultured bacterium. Its description in RNAcentral is "partial 16S ribosomal RNA". It matches the Rfam family "Bacterial small subunit ribosomal RNA", at positions 524 to 776 of the family's 1533-position model. The record is from RNAcentral.